CUACGGGCCGCUGCAGUGGGGAAUAUUGCACAAUGGGCGAAAGCCUGAUGCAGCAACGCCGCGUGAGUGAUGAAGGCCUUCGGGUCGUAAAACUCUGUCCUCAAGGAAGAUAAUGACGGUACUUGAGGAGGAAGCCCCGGCUAACUACGUGCCAGCAGCCGCGGUAAUACGUAGGGGGCUAGCGUUAUCCGGAUUUACUGGGCGUAAAGGGUGCGUAGGUGGUUUCUUAAGUCAGGAGUGAAAGGCUACGGCUUAACCGUAGUAAGCUCUUGAAACUGGGGAACUUGAGUGCAGGAGAGGAAAGUGGAAUUCCUAGUGUAGCGGUGAAAUGCGUAGAUAUUAGGAGGAACACCAGUAGCGAAGGCGGCUUUCUGGACUGUAACUGACACUGAGGCACGAAAGCGUGGGGAGUAAACAGGAUUAGAUACCCCCGUAGUC
Molecule: ribosomal RNA, 438 nt
Filed under: uncultured bacterium
Lineage: Bacteria
Description: partial 16S ribosomal RNA
Rfam family: Bacterial small subunit ribosomal RNA
Source: RNAcentral